CGCGCAGGCGGUCGUACGAGUCGCGUGUGAAAGCCCCCGGCUCAACUGGGGAGGGUCACGCGAUACUGUUCGACUCGAAGGCAGGAGAGGGAAGCAGAAUUCCCGGUGUAGUGGUGAAAUGCGUAGAUAUCGGGAGGAAUACCAGUGGCGAGGGCGGCUUCCUGGCCUGUUCUUGACGCUGAGGCGCGAAAGCUAGGGUAGCAAACG
RNAcentral lists this ribosomal RNA (207 nucleotides) under uncultured bacterium. RNAcentral's name for it is "partial 16S ribosomal RNA". It matches the Rfam family "Bacterial small subunit ribosomal RNA", at positions 568 to 774 of the family's 1533-position model. The record is from RNAcentral.